RNAcentral lists this ribosomal RNA (147 nucleotides) under Crocallis elinguaria. RNAcentral's name for it is "partial large subunit ribosomal RNA". Lineage: Eukaryota; Metazoa; Arthropoda; Insecta; Lepidoptera; Geometridae. The record is from RNAcentral.
AAUACUUAAAUAUUUAAAAAAUUCUUUAUUAAUAAAAUUAUUUUUAUUUAUUUAAUUAUUUUGUGGGGGUGAUAAAAAAAUAAGUUAAACUUUUUUUAAUUGGUAACAUAGAUAAGUGUUUAAAUGAUCCAAUUUUAUUGAUUAUAA